This 436-nucleotide unclassified non-coding RNA is filed under the name Artemisia waltonii. RNAcentral describes it as "partial external transcribed spacer". Lineage: Eukaryota; Viridiplantae; Streptophyta; Magnoliopsida; Asterales; Asteraceae. The record is from RNAcentral.
UGUUUGGUUUGUUACGUGUGGUUGGCUGCGGCGUUUGCAACAACUUCCAUGCUUUCAGACCUCUUCAGUUGUGCGGCAAGGCUUGUAUCGCCUUGAGCGUAUUGUGGGUUUUCUGUGUUGGCUACCUAAUCAACGGUAUCGUUUGGAUUGAUCAAAGUUUGAUUUCGUCUUCCGUCGCGUUUGCGGCGUGAGGUGAACCUUGAUGCGGUCUCUUUGAUCCAUCUCGUCGAAGCACAUGCUUUGACGUUGUGGCACAUUGAGCAUUGCUUGGUGUCUUGUAUACGGAACACGUAGUGGGCAUGGAUCUAACGAUUCUUGUUUGCCCUCGUAUUAGCGUAACGCUUCUCUAACACGACUUGCACCACGUUUUAGCUCGUACGGACGUGGUGCUAUGUCGCAGAGGAAUGCUACCUGGUUGAUCCUGCCAGAGUCANGU